This 253-nucleotide ribosomal RNA is filed under the name uncultured bacterium. Its description in RNAcentral is "partial 16S ribosomal RNA". It matches the Rfam family "Bacterial small subunit ribosomal RNA", at positions 524 to 776 of the family's 1533-position model. The record is from RNAcentral.
UACGUAGGGUGCAAGCGUUGUCCGGAAUUAUUGGGCGUAAAGCGCGCGUAGGCGGCUUUGCAAGUCGGGUGUGAAAUCCCUCAGCUUAACUGGGGAACUGCGUGUGAUACUGGAUGGCUUGGAUUUGGGAGAGGGAUGCGGAAUUCCAGGUGUAGCGGUGAAAUGCGUAGAUAUCUGGAGGAACACCGGUGGCGAAGGCGGCAUCCUGGACCAAUAUUGACGCUGAGGAGCGAAAGCUAGGGGAGCAAACGGG